Echinops telfairi (small Madagascar hedgehog) is the source of this 164-nucleotide small nuclear RNA. Its record names the gene U1. It matches the Rfam family "U1 spliceosomal RNA". From Rfam's summary of the family: U1 is a small nuclear RNA (snRNA) component of the spliceosome (involved in pre-mRNA splicing). Its 5' end forms complementary base pairs with the 5' splice junction, thus defining the 5' donor site of an intron. There are significant differences in sequence and secondary structure between metazoan and yeast U1 snRNAs, the latter being much longer (568 nucleotides as compared to 164 nucleotides in human). The record is from Ensembl. Lineage: Eukaryota; Metazoa; Chordata; Mammalia; Afrosoricida; Tenrecidae.
AUACUUGCCUGGCAGGGAAGAUACCAUGGUCGCGAGGGUGGUUUUCCCAGGGCGAGGCUUAUCCAUUGCACUCCUGGUGUGCUGACCCCUGCGAUUUCCCCAAGUGUGGGAAACUCGACUGUAUGGUUUGUGGUAGUGGAGGACUGCGUUCGUGAUGUCCCCUG